AUUGAACGCUGGCGGCAGGCCUAACACAUGCAAGUCGAGCGGAUGAAGGGAGCUUGCUCCUGGAUUCAUCGGCGGACGGGUGAGUAAUGCCUAGGAAUCUGCCUGGUAGUGGGGGAUAACGUCCGGAAACGGGCGCUAAUACCGCAUACGUCCUGAGUGAGAAAGUGGGGGAUCUUCGGACCUCACGCUAUCAGAUGAGCCUAGGUCGGAUUAGCUAGUUGGUGGGGUAAAGGCCUACCAAGGCGACGAUCCGUAACUGGUCUGAGAGGAUGAUCAGUCACACUGGAACUGAGACACGGUCCAGACUCCUACGGGAGGCAGCAGUGGGGAAUAUUGGACAAUGGGCGAAAGCCUGAUCCAGCCAUGCCGCGUGUGUGAAGAAGGUCUUCGGAUUGUAAAGCACUUUAAGUUGGGAGGAAGGGAAGUAAGUUAAUACCUUGCUGUUUUGACGUUACCAACAGAAUAAGCACCGGCUAACUUCGUG
Molecule: ribosomal RNA, 484 nt
Filed under: uncultured bacterium
Lineage: Bacteria
Description: partial 16S ribosomal RNA
Rfam family: Bacterial small subunit ribosomal RNA
Source: RNAcentral